AGUGAACGCUGGCGGUAGGCCUAACACAUGCCAGUCGAACGGCAGCACAGUAAGAGCUUGCUCUUACGGGUGGCGAGUGGCGGACGGGUGAGGAAUACAUCGGACUCUACUUUUUCGUGGGGGAUAACGUAGGGAAACUUACGCUAAUACCGCAUACGACCUACGGGUGAAAGCAGGGGAUCUUCGGACCUUGCGCGAAUGAAUGCGCCGAUGUCGGACUAGCUAGUUGGCGGGGUAAAGGCCCACCAAGGCGACGAUCCGUAGCUGGUCUGAGAGGAGGGUCGGCCACACUGGAACUGAGACACGGUCAAUACUCCUACGGGAGGCAGCAGUGGGGAAUAUGGGACAAUGGGCGCAAACCUGAUCCAGCCAUACCGCGUGGGUGAAGAAGGCCUUCGGGUUGUAAAGCCCUUUUGUUGGGAAAGAAAAGCAGCAGGUUAAUACCCCGCUGUUCUGACGGUACCCAAAGAAUAAGCACCGGCUAACUUCGUG
RNAcentral lists this ribosomal RNA (492 nucleotides) under uncultured bacterium. Its description in RNAcentral is "partial 16S ribosomal RNA". It matches the Rfam family "Bacterial small subunit ribosomal RNA", at positions 29 to 507 of the family's 1533-position model. The record is from RNAcentral.